UAAGACGAACCGUCCAAACGUUAUUCGGAAUCACUGGGCUUAAAGGGUGCGUAGGCGGCGCGGAAAGUUGGGUGUGAAAUCCCUCGGCUCAACCGAGGAACUGCGCCCAAAACUACCGUGCUCGAGGGAGAUAGAGGUGAGCGGAACUUAGGGUGGAGCGGUGAAAUGCGUUGAUAUCCUAAGGAACACCGGUGGCGAAAGCGGCUCACUGGAUCUCUUCUGACGCUGAGGCACGAAAGCUAGGGUAGCGAACGGG
Molecule: ribosomal RNA, 256 nt
Filed under: uncultured bacterium
Lineage: Bacteria
Description: partial 16S ribosomal RNA
Rfam family: Bacterial small subunit ribosomal RNA
Source: RNAcentral